Molecule: ribosomal RNA, 160 nt
Filed under: uncultured bacterium
Lineage: Bacteria
Also listed under: 1 other name
Description: partial 16S ribosomal RNA
Rfam family: Bacterial small subunit ribosomal RNA
Source: RNAcentral
UGGGGAAUAUUGGACAAUGGGCGCAAGCCUGAUCCAGCCAUACCGCGUGGGUGAAGAAGGCCUUCGGGUUGUAAAGCCCUUUUGUUGGGAAAGAAAUCCAGCCGGCUAAUACCUGGUUGGGAUGACGGUACCCAAAGAAUAAGCACCGGCUAACUUCGUG